UCAGGAUUGGCAUCCAUCACCGCACACCCACACUGCCAUUUCACUUUGGCGCAAAGUAGUCUCUGUAAUGCAAGGACACGCAGACGGAUGGAUGCAUUGCUUAUAAAUGUGACAGCUACGAGAGAUAUCUCCAUGUAUGUUUAAUAUGAGAGCCUCCCGACUGAAAUCUGGGAGUUGGCAACCCUGAUCACAGGGCAAAGUUCAGUUUUGCAAAAAAGGAAUGAGAUCCAUACUGGACUAGUCACAAGGCAAAGCCGACAGAAACCGGGCACUUCCUAAACUGCUGCAAACCAUCUUCGAGACCUGAAGCGACUAUCGCCAGACAUGGAACAAGGGCCUACGCAAAAUGUGUUUCAUCAGCGAGAAAACACACGUGAAAAUGCAACAAGUGUUGUACUUUUCAUGAUGUGGACAUUAAGUGCGCAGGCGAGCGUGAAGAAACAGACGGUAGCAGCUGGUGAAAAAGAGAUCCUUGUAAAAGAUGCACUUAGAUUUUAAGUGUUUCUCUUGUAGUUUUCAAUGCAAAUAAAAAGAACAAAAAAACACUGUUCUGCUGUGGAGUGUCUGUACAAGCUAAUUAGAAGGUACAGUGCCUCAUUCUAAAAGUGAAUGACUUCGUUUUUGCCCAAAAUGCACUACUACAUACUAUAACUGUAACAAAAGUUUUUUUCCCCAAAUAUUUUGCAAAUGUAUUGUAAAUAAAAAAAAAACUUUCUAAUUAUUAUAGCUCUUUUAUUUUGUUACUUCACUCAUUUUCUGGUGCUGGAUGCUCAAUACCAGAGGUGGGUAGUAAUGUGUUACACUUAAUCCGUUACUUUUACUUGAGUAACUUUUUGAGAGAUAUAAACUUCUAAGAGUAGUUUUACCAUGCAAUACUU
Molecule: long non-coding RNA, 878 nt
Organism: Corythoichthys intestinalis (scribbled pipefish)
Lineage: Eukaryota; Metazoa; Chordata; Actinopteri; Syngnathiformes; Syngnathidae
Exons: 3
Source: RefSeq, a predicted model, not a curated record